GAUGAAGAACGUAGUGAAAUGCGAUGCUUGGUGUGAAUUGCAGAAUCCCGUGAACCAUCGAGUCUUUGAACGCAAGUUGCGCCCGAAGCCAUCAGGUUGAGGGCACGUCUGCCUGGGCGUCACAUAUCGUUGCCCAAUGCCUAUUGCAGUGCAAUAGGAAUUUCUAGGGCGAAUGAUGGCUUCCCGUGAGCGUUGUUGCCUCGCGGUUGGUUGAAAAUCGAGUCCUUGGUAGGGUGUGCCAUGGUAGAUGGUGGUCGAGUUAGAACGAUACCGAUCAUGUGCAUGCUCCCCAAAAUAUGGCCUCUAUGACCCACACGCGUCUUUUGACGCUCAUGACGAGACCUCAGGUCAGGCGGGGCUACCCGCUGAAUUUAAGCAUAUCAAUAAGCGGAGGA
This 395-nucleotide unclassified non-coding RNA is filed under the name soil metagenome. RNAcentral's name for it is "partial contains 5.8S ribosomal RNA, internal transcribed spacer 2, and large subunit ribosomal RNA". The stretch from base 1 to 122 matches the Rfam family "5.8S ribosomal RNA", at positions 35 to 154 of the family's 154-position model. The record is from RNAcentral.